This 242-nucleotide ribosomal RNA is filed under the name Pandemis heparana (apple brown tortrix). RNAcentral's name for it is "partial 12S ribosomal RNA". Lineage: Eukaryota; Metazoa; Arthropoda; Insecta; Lepidoptera; Tortricidae. The record is from RNAcentral.
GAUAAUAUAAAUUAAAAUAAUUUUUAAUUAAAUUAAAAUUUCACCUAUUAAUUUAAUAUUUAAAUUCAAUAUUUUAUUUAUAUUAAUUAUUACUAAUAAAAUUCAAUUUAACUUUUGUAUAACCGCAACUGCUGGCACAAAAUUUGUUAUUAAUUUUAAUAUUACUAAAUAUUAAUUUCUUAAAUUUUUAAUGUUAAUUACAAAUUUAAUAAAAUUAAAUAUUAUUAAAAUAAUUAAAAAUA